UACGUAGGGUGCGAGCGUUGUCCGGAAUUACUGGGCGUAAAGAGCUCGUAGGUGGUUUGUCGCGUUGUCCGUGAAAACUCACAACUCAAUUGUGGGCGUGCGGGCGAUACGGGCAGACUGGAGUACUGCAGGGGAGACUGGAAUUCCUGGUGUAGCGGUGGAAUGCGCAGAUAUCAGGAGGAACACCGGUGGCGAAGGCGGGUCUCUGGGCAGUAACUGACGCUGAGGAGCGAAAUCGUGGGGAGCGAACAGG
This 253-nucleotide ribosomal RNA is filed under the name uncultured bacterium. RNAcentral describes it as "partial 16S ribosomal RNA". It matches the Rfam family "Bacterial small subunit ribosomal RNA", at positions 524 to 776 of the family's 1533-position model. The record is from RNAcentral.